Oryzias melastigma (Indian medaka) is the source of this 1652-nucleotide long non-coding RNA. RefSeq lists it as uncharacterized. The record is from RefSeq and is a predicted model, not a curated record. Lineage: Eukaryota; Metazoa; Chordata; Actinopteri; Beloniformes; Adrianichthyidae. The transcript is spliced from 2 exons.
AAAUAUAAAUGUUCAAAACUUUUUGCUGUUCAAAAAUAAACUUUGUCAUUUUCAGGUUCAAAUGUUUUUUAGGUUUCAAAACUCAAAAUUUGACGGUUAAUAUGCUCAGAGGAAGUUUGAUCUUCAGAAGGUUUUUUACAUUUUUUUGUUGACACGUUAGACAUUACAAAGCAUUGUCUAUGUAUACAUGUGAAGACAAAAUGAAAUCAAUUUAAGAAUUAGUAAAGGAGAAAAAGAAGACAAAAAUAUAAUAUAAACCAAAUCAGCAAAAUUAAAUAUAUAUAACAUUAAAAUGAAAUUCCUGACUGUACUCCGAAAUCUAAUUACGGAAAAAUCACAUCAGUCCAGGUAAACUGGCAAAUUAUUUGAAAGUUUUGUGGCAUUUUUAUUUUUUAUAUUUUCUAGAGAUUUACAAAAAAGAUAAAGGUCGUUUUUUUUAAAAAAAAAACAAAAAACAACAACAUUGGACUGUCUUUCAAAAAUCGAGAUUUGCGAAUAAAAAAAAAUGACAAAAAAAUAUUAUAUUGUUUGUUUUUCAGAAAGUAUCUAUUCACAUUUAAUUUUCUAAACAGGACCAGUGUUGGACUUUUUCCACGGUCGCACAGACGCAGAGGAAACGUUAAGGUUCAACCACCACGUGGUUCCUGAAGGAGCUGAGUCUGCAGCUCACCGCUCCUCAAGGGUGUCCUGGGUCUACCCGGGCCUCCAUCUCCAGUGGGACAUGCCCAGAACAUCUCCCCAGGGAGGCGUCCAGACCAGAAGCCCGACCACCUCAACUGCUCCUCAGGACGUGGAGAAGAGGAUCUACUCCGAUCUCUCCGUUCGUUCGAUCCCGACUCAGACCUCAUGACCAUAGAUCAGUACUGGAACACAGACCAACCGGUAACGGGGAAUCUUCUCCAGCGGAGCUUCAGGUCUCCCUUCACCAGCGAGCACAGAGACCUGGAAUCCUGUUCUGGAGAGAGGUUCCUGUGACCUCUGCCCUGGAUCUGUGCAGCCUUGCUGUGACGGUAAACUCACGUCACUCCUGUGACAUGAGCGGAGAGCCGCAGCUUCAGCGCCUGCUGGACACACACGAACAGACAACAAACAAACAACACAAAAGUUCCCUCCUCUAAUGGAUGCAGCGUUCCUGGAAGUUCUGCUGCAUCCGGACCCAUCCCAGCCUCCCUCCUUCAGCCCCCUGCGCUCCUCCGUCGGUUUCUUGCCAGAAGCAACCGUCCGAAUGAACGGGCAGCCGUAAUCCAUGCAGACGUGAGCCACCGCGGCCUCUCAUCCACAGGUUAGCUGACGGCCAAUCAGUAAAUCCAAAGUGACUGGCGGGAGGAGAAGGAGGCGCUGCGUUUCCGAGUCCUGGGGGGCACAGAGGCUGUUCACUUCCUACAGAGGCGGGGGGGCAUGCUGAAAGCUGAAUUCUGGGUAACAUCUGCCUCAAACCAUCACGGCUGCAGACUGUAGCUGCAGAGCAGCAGGUCGGGUUUGCAGUCGGAUUCAGAUUUUCUCAGUAAAACAAACAUUUCACGGCUCUGUUUAUCCACUGAAAUGAGGAGAAUUCAAACCGAAUUCAUUCUUUUGAAGACAUUUAGCAAAAGGAGACACAAGAGUCACUCGAUAGCAGAAUGAUAAAUAUAGCUGACAGAUUUUAUAAAUCA